AGUAAAAGUUUGCAACAUUUGGCCCGACUACAAUCUCUCUCCUUUGAAACCCUAGACGGCGAUUUGGGAGGCGAUGAAAACGCGAUAUUGACUGUAAGAGCAGUAGCUCGAGAUCUGCCUCUGCAAGGCAAGAGGCAAAUUCAAAGGAAGCUGAUAAAGUCUCAGACCAACUCAAGUCCACUUCAAUCUCUGAGGGCAAAGCCCCUUCUGCUGCUUUACUGAACUGGAGUUUGAUAUCUCUUGUUGAGUUGGUAGCUUUUCUUCUCAUUAGAUUCACAGCACCAAAAAGAGCCUGAUGACAUAUUUGAUGGUAAUGAUCCUCCUCAAAGUGAUGGUGAAGAUGAUGAGAUUGUUGAGCAUGUGCCUUCGGCUCAGCUUCGAGAAAUGGAUCAAUUGCGUAAUACUAUUGCUGAUCAGAUUUGGAAUUCUCUUCAGCACUCUUGAUCCUUCUGAAGG
This is a long non-coding RNA of Cornus florida, 456 nucleotides long. RefSeq lists it as uncharacterized. The transcript is spliced from 4 exons. The record is from RefSeq and is a predicted model, not a curated record. Lineage: Eukaryota; Viridiplantae; Streptophyta; Magnoliopsida; Cornales; Cornaceae.